RNAcentral lists this ribosomal RNA (160 nucleotides) under uncultured bacterium. RNAcentral describes it as "partial 16S ribosomal RNA". It matches the Rfam family "Bacterial small subunit ribosomal RNA", at positions 355 to 507 of the family's 1533-position model. The record is from RNAcentral.
UGAGGAAUCUUGCGCAAUGGGGGAAACCCUGACGCAGCAACGCCGCGUGAGUGAGGAAGGUCUUCGGAUCGUAAAGCUCUGUCGGGUGGAAAGAAAUGUAUGGGGUUAAUAGCCUUCAUACUUGACGGUACCACCAAAGGAAGCACCGGCUAACUCCGUG